UACAGAGGUCUCAAGCGUUGUUCGGAAUUACUGGGCGUAAAGGGUGCGCAGGCCGCGCGGGCAGUCAAAUGUGUAAUCCAGGGGCUCAACCCCUGAACUGCGCUUGAUACUUCCGCGCUCGAGCUUUGGAGAGGAGUCUGGAAUUCUCGGUGUAGCAGUGAAAUGCGUGGAUAUCGAGAGGAACACUUAGGGCGUAGGCAAGACUCUGGACAAAUGCUGACGCUCAUGCACGAAGGCUAGGGUAGCGAACGGG
This 253-nucleotide ribosomal RNA is filed under the name uncultured bacterium. RNAcentral's name for it is "partial 16S ribosomal RNA". It matches the Rfam family "Bacterial small subunit ribosomal RNA", at positions 524 to 776 of the family's 1533-position model. The record is from RNAcentral.